This 116-nucleotide ribosomal RNA is filed under the name Enterobacter hormaechei. The record is from RNAcentral. Lineage: Bacteria; Pseudomonadati; Pseudomonadota; Gammaproteobacteria; Enterobacterales; Enterobacteriaceae.
CCUGGCGGCUGUAGCGCGGUGGUCCCACCUGACCCCAUGCCGAACUCAGAAGUGAAACGCCGUAGCGCCGAUGGUAGUGUGGGGUCUCCCCAUGUGAGAGUAGGGGACUGCCAGGC